RNAcentral lists this long non-coding RNA (1844 nucleotides) under Gossypium barbadense (sea-island cotton). RNAcentral's name for it is "long non-coding RNA (GBAR_LNC019506)". The stretch from base 888 to 1077 matches the Rfam family "MIR159 microRNA precursor family". Lineage: Eukaryota; Viridiplantae; Streptophyta; Magnoliopsida; Malvales; Malvaceae. The record is from RNAcentral.
GUAAUGACGAUAAGAUAAGAUAGGGGCCGGGGACUAGUAAAUAUCGUGGGGCUCGGUUGUUCACCAGUUUUCGAAGGCAUGUGAAAGUGUGAUUAUCAAAACAGGGAAUCUAAUGUGGCCGGUUCCCGAGACUCUUUCAUGAUAAAGGCAAAGGCAAGGGAGCAGCCUCUUUAUUUAUUUUGCUUUAAAUUUUUUUUAUGGAAAGGGCAAGGAAAACAGCAAAUACAGCUCACUUCCCGACCCACCACCAAACCAUCAUCAUUUAUUUAUUUGAUCAAAACCCUAGGCCGCUAUUAGUAUUUAACCCUUGGCUACCACCAUCUUCUUUUUAUUAUUGAAGGUAACCAAAGGCCUCGGUAGGUAGGGUUGUUUACUCUUGGGGGUCUCCUUGGUUCACACCAGGAGCGUCUCCGAGGCUUCAAGUUUUGGGUUUUAAGAUCUACUUAGCACUCAGACCAUCUUGUAGGUGAAGUCGGGUUAAAGUAUGGUCUGGCUUUUGCUUUAAAGGGUCUUGGAUCUGUUCCGAGUUUUUUGUAUUUUAGUCUAGUUUCAUGGAUUUGCUUUUGUGAUGGAAAAAAAUGUUUGGCUUUUUUCUCUAGUGGGGUUGAGAGAUCACAUCUUCUCAUCUUAACUAAAGAUUGAUCGUUUACUCAAAUAGUUGUGUACUUUCGGUUUUCCAGUUUAUAGGGGAAAAGAAAAGAUGUGUUUUGCUUUUGCUUUUAAUCUUGCUUCUGUAUUUUCUUCCCGUUUAUGGUAAGUUGUCUAGGGUUAGGGUAAGUGUUUGUUUAAAGUGGUCAGGUUUUAGUGAAUAAAUAUGGCUAUUAGGAAGAAGAAAAAGAAGAAAAUCAGCCCAAGUAUUUAGAUGUAAUCCAAAGUAAGAAGGUGGGGGGUUAGGAAUGGAGCUCCUUGAAGUCCAAUAGAGUUUCUUGCUGGGUAUAUUGAGCUGCUUGGCUAUGGAUCCCACAGUCCUAUCCCAUGUUGGGAGGGAUAGGCUUGCGGCUUCCAUAUCUCAGGAGCUUCAUUACCUUUAAAGUUAGAUCCUUGUUUGGAUUGAAGGGAGCUCUACAUCUUUCUCCUUUCUCACUUCAUCGUCUAGCCAAAGAUUGAUGUGAUCUUAUAAUGCUACACUUUUAUCUUCUUUUGUUGCUGUUGACUCUUUUUCUUUUUCAUGGAUCUGUGAAGUUUAGGGUUUGAUUGUAAAUUAUUUUGCCUUGUGGGGUUUAUUGUGAAUUAAUAGUUGCAUACUGUUGUGAAUGGUUGGAUGGAUCUUGAAUUUCUUGUUACCUCUUUUGGUUUCCAUUAUUAAUUUUGGCAGAGCGUUGCUGAGACUGCAGAUGUUUACACAGGAUAAAGGAAGUGAAAGCCAAAACGAGAUGUCAGAAAGUAAAUCUUGUGGUCAUUUUCUUAGAUUCUGCUGCUGCUGCUGCGCUGUUUUCAAAAUUCAUUUUUAAUGUAAUAAUAAAAUAAAAGACAUGAAUUAUUGAACCUUUCCAUUUUCUUUUAAAUCUUGAAGGUAUCCUGUCUUCUUUUUUGUUAUGCAUAGGUUUAUCUUGUCCAGGUGGUGGAUUUGUAAAGUUGUGUUAAUUUGCAUGACAGGGAUAAUUUUAAUUAUCUUAAGACAUUAUUGAUCUUGGUCGAGGCUGGGCACCUAAACAAGAAAAAGAUAAGAGGAAAUUAGGUUUAAGUUGUGGAACUGAAGCUUUUGAGAUAUAGGGUUGGCCGGUUAGGGCAAAAGUUAUGGAUGUCGUUUUCACGUUUAUUUUACAAUAUUAUGUAUUUUUAGAAGUUAUUGUUACGUCUGUGUUUGGGUUUUGUUCUGAUUCAUACAAAAAGUUAAUUGUUAU